GACGAACGCUGGCGGCGUGCUUAACACAUGCAAGUCGAACGAUGAAGCACCAGCUUGCUGGUGUGGAUUAGUGGCGAACGGGUGAGUAACACGUGAGUAACCUGCCCCUCACUCUGGGAUAAGCCUGGGAAACUGGGUCUAAUACUGGAUACGACCGAUCUCCGCAUGGAGUGUUGGUGGAAAGUUUUUGUGGUGGGGGAUGGACUCGCGGCCUAUCAGCUUGUUGGUGGGGUAAUGGCCUACCAAGGCGACGACGGGUAGCCGGCCUGAGAGGGCGACCGGCCACACUGGGACUGAGACACGGCCCAGACUCCUACGGGAGGCGGCAGUGGGGAAUAUUGCACAAUGGGCGAAAGCCUGAUGCAGCGACGCCGCGUGAGGGAUGACGGCCUUCGGGUUGUAAACCUCUUUCACCAGGGACGAAGCUAACGUGACGGUACCUGGAGAAGAAGCACCGGCUAACUACGUG
This 469-nucleotide ribosomal RNA is filed under the name uncultured bacterium. RNAcentral's name for it is "partial 16S ribosomal RNA". It matches the Rfam family "Bacterial small subunit ribosomal RNA", at positions 28 to 507 of the family's 1533-position model. The record is from RNAcentral.